Molecule: ribosomal RNA, 253 nt
Filed under: uncultured bacterium
Lineage: Bacteria
Description: partial 16S ribosomal RNA
Rfam family: Bacterial small subunit ribosomal RNA
Source: RNAcentral
UACAGAGGCCUCGAGCGUUCGGCGGAAUCACUGGGCUUAAAGCGUGUGUAGGCGGAUCGUUAAGUACCUUGUGAAAUCCCACGGCUCAACCGUGGAACUGCUUGGUAUACUGGCGAUCUUGUGCCACCUAGGGGCGAGCGGAACAGAUGGUGGAGCGGUGAAAUGCGUAGAUAUCAUCUGGAACGCCAAUGGUGAAAACAGCUCGCUGGGGGUGUGCAGACGCUGAGACACGAAAGCCAGGGGAGCGAACGGG